This 27-nucleotide non-coding RNA is filed under the name Homo sapiens (human). Lineage: Eukaryota; Metazoa; Chordata; Mammalia; Primates; Hominidae. The record is from RNAcentral.
CAGCCAAAAACUCUCAUGCUUGUGUCA